GAACGCUCUUCUCCUCUACCAGAGGUGUGAUGCUGCAACCGCGCUCACCCUCACCCGUCUACCGCCGCACCGCUCACUAAUGCCUACCCAAUUGCCCUGAUGUGGGGGAUAACCAUUGGAAACGAUGGCUAAUACCGCAUGAUGCCUACGGGCCAAAGAGGGGGACCUUCGGGCCUCUCGCGUCAGGAUAUGCCUAGGUGGGAUUAGCUAGUUGGUGAGGUAAGGGCUCACCAAGGCGACGAUCCCUAGCUGGUCUGAGAGGAUGAUCAGCCACACUGGAACUGAGACACGGUCCAGACUCCUACGGGAGGCAGCAGUGGGGAAUAUUGCACAAUGGGCGCAAGCCUGAUGCAGCCAUGCCGCGUGUGUGAAGAAGGCUUUCGGGUUGUAAAGCACUUUCAGUCGUGAGGAAGGUAGUGUAGUUAAUAGCUGCAUUAUUUGACGUUAGCGACAGAAGAAGCACCGGCUAACUCCGUGCCAGCAGCCGCGGUAAUACGGAGGGUGCGAGCGUUAAUCGGAAUUACUGGGCGUAAAGCGCAUGCAGGUGGUUUGUUAAGUCAGAUGUGAAAGCCCGGGGCUCAACCUCGGAAUAGCAUUUGAAACUGGCAGACUAGAGUACUGUAGAGGGGGGUAGAAUUUCAGGUGUAGCGGUGAAAUGCGUAGAGAUCUGAAGGAAUACGGGUGGCGAAGGCGGCCCCCUGGACAGAUACUGACACUCAGAUGCGAAAGCGUGGGGAGCAAACAGGAUUAGAUACCCUGGUAGUCCACGCCGUAAACGAUGUCUACUUGGAGGUUGUGGCCUUGAGCCGUGGCUUUCGGAGCUAACGCGUUAAGUAGACCGCCUGGGGAGUACGGUCGCAAGAUUAAAACUCAAAUGAAUUGACGGGGGCCCGCACAAGCGGUGGAGCAUGUGGUUUAAUUCGAUGCAACGCGAAGAACCUUACCUACUCUUGACAUCCAGAGAACUUUCCAGAGAUGGAUUGGUGCCUUCGGGAACUCUGAGACAGGUGCUGCAUGGCUGUCGUCAGCUCGUGUUGUGAAAUGUUGGGUUAAGUCCCGCAACGAGCGCAACCCUUAUCCUUGUUUGCCAGCGAGUAAUGUCGGGAACUCCAGGGAGACUGCCGGUGAUAAA
This 1132-nucleotide ribosomal RNA is filed under the name Vibrio alginolyticus. RNAcentral describes it as "bacterial SSU rRNA". It matches the Rfam family "Bacterial small subunit ribosomal RNA", at positions 69 to 1162 of the family's 1533-position model. Lineage: Bacteria; Pseudomonadati; Pseudomonadota; Gammaproteobacteria; Vibrionales; Vibrionaceae. The record is from RNAcentral.